Molecule: transfer RNA, 71 nt
Filed under: Camelus bactrianus (Bactrian camel)
Lineage: Eukaryota; Metazoa; Chordata; Mammalia; Artiodactyla; Camelidae
Also listed under: 1 other name
Rfam family: tRNA
About the family: Transfer RNA (tRNA) molecules are approximately 80 nucleotides in length. Their secondary structure includes four short double-helical elements and three loops (D, anti-codon, and T loops). Further hydrogen bonds mediate the characteristic L-shaped molecular structure. tRNAs have two regions of fundamental functional importance: the anti-codon, which is responsible for specific mRNA codon recognition, and the 3' end, to which the tRNAs corresponding amino acid is attached (by aminoacyl-tRNA synthetases). tRNAs cope with the degeneracy of the genetic code in two manners: having more than one tRNA (with a specific anti-codon) for a particular amino acid; and 'wobble' base-pairing, i.e. permitting non-standard base-pairing at the 3rd anti-codon position.
Source: Rfam by way of RNAcentral
AGAGAAAUAGCACAGUGGUAGAGCAUAUGCCUAGCAUGCAUGAGGUCCUGGGUUCAACCCUAGUACCUCCA